UCGAGCGGGAUCUUCGGAUUCCUGUGGGGGACGGGUGAGUAACGCGUAAGAAUCUAACUUCUGGACGGGGACCACAGUUGGAAACGACUGCUAAUACCCGAUGUGCCGCAAGGUGAAACCUAAUUGGCCUGGAGAAGAGCUUGCGUCUGAUUAGCUAGUUGGUGGGGGAAGAGCCUACCAAGGCGACGAUCAGUAGCUGGUCUGAAAGGAUGAGCACCCACACUGGGACUGAAACACGGCCCAGACUCCUACGGGAACAGCAGUGGGGAAUUUUCCGCAAUGGGCGAAAGCCUGACGGAGCAACGCCGCGUGAGGGAGGAAGGUCUUUGGAUUGUAAGCCUCUUUUCUCAAGGAAGAAUUUCUGACGGUACUUGAGGAAUCAGCCUCGGCUAACUCCGUGCCAGCAUCCGCGGUAAUACGGGGGAGGCAAGCGUUAUCCGGAAUUAUUGGGCGUAAAGCGUCCGCAGGUGGUCAGCCAAGUCUGCCGUCAAAUCAGGUUGCUUAACGACCUAAAGGCGGUGGAAACUGGCAGACUAGAGAUCAGUAGGGGUAGCAGGAAUUCCCAGUGUAGCGGUGAAAUGCGUAGAGAUUGGGAAGAACAUCGGUGGCGAAAGCGUGCUACUGGGCUGUAUCUGACACUCAGGGACGAAAGCUAGGGGAGCGAAAGGGAUUAGAUACCAC
Molecule: ribosomal RNA, 681 nt
Filed under: Microcystis sp. VKG1
Lineage: Bacteria; Bacillati; Cyanobacteriota; Cyanophyceae; Chroococcales; Microcystaceae
Description: bacterial SSU rRNA
Rfam family: Bacterial small subunit ribosomal RNA
Source: RNAcentral